AGUCGUGCGAACAGAUGAGAAGCUUGCUUCUCUGAUGUUAGCGGCGGACGGGUGAGUAACACGUGGGUAACCUACCUAUAAGACUGGGAUAACUCCGGGAAACCGGGGCUAAUACCGGAUAAUAUUUUGAACCGCAUGGUUCAAUAGUGAAAGACGGUUUCGGCUGUCACUUAUAGAUGGACCCGCGCCGUAUUAGCUAGUUGGUAAGGUAACGGCUUACCAAGGCGACGAUACGUAGCCGACCUGAGAGGGUGAUCGGCCACACUGGAACUGAGACACGGUCCAGACUAAUACGGGAGGCAGCAGUAGGGAAUCUUCCGCAAUGGGCGAAAGCCUGACGGAGCAACGCCGCGUGAGUGAUGAAGGUCUUCGGAUCGUAAAACUCUGUUGUUAGGGAAGAACAAAUUUGUUAGUAACUGAACAAGUCUUGACGGUACCUAACCAGAAAGCCACGGCUAACUACGUGCCAGCAGCCGCGGUAAUACGUAGGUGGCAAGCGUUAUCCGGAAUUAUUGGGCGUAAAGCGCGCGUAGGCGGUUUCUUAAGUCUGAUGUGAAAGCCCACGGCUCAACCGUGGAGGGUCAUUGGAAACUGGGAAACUUGAGUGCAGAAGAGGAGAGUGGAAUUCCAUGUGUAGCGGUGAAAUGCGCAGAGAUAUGGAGGAACACCAGUGGCGAAGGCGGCUCUCUGGUCUGUAACUGACGCUGAUGUGCGAAAGCGUGGGGAUCAAACAGGAUUAGAUACCCUGGUAGUCCACGCCGUAAACGAUGAGUGCUAAGUGUUAGGGGGUUUCCGCCCCUUAGUGCUGCAGCUAACGCAUUAAGCACUCCGCCUGGGGAGUACGACCGCAAGGUUGAAACUCAAAGGAAUUGACGGGGACCCGCACAAGCGGUGGAGCAUGUGGUUUAAUUCGAAGCAACGCGAAGAACCUUACCAAAUCUUGACAUCCUUUGACCGCUCUAGAGAUAGAGUCUUCCCCUUCGGGGGACAAAGUGACAGGUGGUGCAUGGUUGUCGUCAGCUCGUGUCGUGAGAUGUUGGGUUAAGUCCCGCAACGAGCGCAACCCUUAAGCUUAGUUGCCAUCAUUAAGUUGGGCACUCUAGGUUGACUGCCGGUGACAAACCGGAGGAAGGUGGGGAUGACGUCAAAUCAUCAUGCCCCUUAUGAUUUGGGCUACACACGUGCUACAAUGGAUAAUACAAAGGGCAGCGAAUCCGCGAGGCCAAGCAAAUCCCAUAAAAUUAUUCUCAGUUCGGAUUGUAGUCUGCAACUCGACUACAUGAAGCUGGAAUCGCUAGUAAUCGUAGAUCAGCAUGCUACGGUGAAUACGUUCCCGGGUCUUGUACACACCGCCCGUCACACCACGAGAGUUUGUAACACCCGAAGCCGGUGGAGUAACCUUUUAGGAGCUAGCC
Molecule: ribosomal RNA, 1415 nt
Filed under: Staphylococcus sp. HD2
Lineage: Bacteria; Bacillati; Bacillota; Bacilli; Caryophanales; Staphylococcaceae
Description: 16S ribosomal RNA
Rfam family: Bacterial small subunit ribosomal RNA
Source: RNAcentral